RNAcentral lists this small nucleolar RNA (123 nucleotides) under Castor canadensis (American beaver). Its description in RNAcentral is "Small nucleolar RNA SNORD22 (ENSCCNG00000019712.1)". It matches the Rfam family "Small nucleolar RNA SNORD22". Rfam says of the family: U22 is a member of the C/D class of snoRNA which contain the C (UGAUGA) and D (CUGA) box motifs. U22 is encoded within the U22 snoRNA host gene (UHG) in mammals and has also been identified in Xenopus. Lineage: Eukaryota; Metazoa; Chordata; Mammalia; Rodentia; Castoridae. The record is from Rfam by way of RNAcentral.
ACCCAAUGAAGAAACACUCACAUGGCUUACUUCCUGUCCUAGCCCAGAGCCUGUAAAGGUGAACCCACUAGGGCUGGCUGGGGAGAAGAGAAAACUUGCUCUAGAAGGAACUGUCUAAAGGAU